AAAUUGAAGAGUUUGAUCAUGGCUCAGAUUGAACGCUGGCGGCAGGCCUAACACAUGCAAGUCGAACGGUAACAGGAAGCAGCUUGCUGCUUCGCUGACGAGUGGCGGACGGGUGAGUAAUGUCUGGGAAACUGCCUGAUGGAGGGGGAUAACUACUGGAAACGGUGGCUAAUACCGCAUAACGUCGCAAGACCAAAGAGGGGGACCUUCGGGCCUCUUGCCAUCAGAUGUGCCCAGAUGGGAUUAGCUAGUUGGUGAGGUAACGGCUCACCAAGGCGACGAUCCCUAGCUGGUCUGAGAGGAUGACCAGCCACACUGGAACUGAGA
RNAcentral lists this ribosomal RNA (327 nucleotides) under Salmonella enterica subsp. enterica serovar Muenchen. RNAcentral describes it as "partial 16S ribosomal RNA". It matches the Rfam family "Bacterial small subunit ribosomal RNA", at positions 1 to 324 of the family's 1533-position model. RNAcentral also lists the same sequence under 18 other names. Lineage: Bacteria; Pseudomonadati; Pseudomonadota; Gammaproteobacteria; Enterobacterales; Enterobacteriaceae. The record is from RNAcentral.